CGAAGGUAGCAUAAUCAGUAGUCUUUUAAUUGAAGGCUGGUAUGAAUGGUUGGACGAGAUAUUAACUGUUUCAUAAGAAUUUAUAAUAGAAUUUUAUUUUUUAGUAAAAAAGCUAAAAUGAAUUUAAAAGACGAGAAGACCCUAUAAAUCUUUAUAUUUAGUUUAUUAUAAUUUUGUAGAUUUUUUUUAUUAUAAUAGAUAAUAAUAUUUUAUUGGGGUGAUAUUAAAAUUUAAUAAACUUUUAAUUUUUAAAAAUCAUUAAUUAAUGAAUAAUUGAUCCGUUAUUAACGAUUAAAAAAAUAAGUUACUUUAGGGAUAACAGCGUAAUUUUUUUGGAGAGUUCUUAUCGAUAAAAAAGAUUGCGACCUCGAUGUUGGAUUAA
Molecule: ribosomal RNA, 382 nt
Filed under: Oplisa nudiseta
Lineage: Eukaryota; Metazoa; Arthropoda; Insecta; Diptera; Rhinophoridae
Description: partial 16S ribosomal RNA
Source: RNAcentral